GGUUAUGGCUCAGCGGUAGAGUACUCACCUAGCAUGUGUGAGGCCCUGGGUUCGAUCCUCAGCACCA
This 67-nucleotide transfer RNA is filed under the name Marmota monax (woodchuck). RNAcentral's name for it is "tRNA.Ala". It matches the Rfam family "tRNA". From Rfam's summary of the family: Transfer RNA (tRNA) molecules are approximately 80 nucleotides in length. Their secondary structure includes four short double-helical elements and three loops (D, anti-codon, and T loops). Lineage: Eukaryota; Metazoa; Chordata; Mammalia; Rodentia; Sciuridae. The record is from RNAcentral.